CGCAGCAGACUCCUGGGCCUGAUGUGCUAGCUGCCCAUUUGCUAUGGGCCUUCGCUCCCCAGAAGCACCUCUCUGGGUAUGGGGCAAACACCCCUCAUUGCUGCAAUGCAGCCUCUGCUGGAGUGAAACAGGAUGCUUGAUUUCUAUUGCGUCAGUAGCAACACUGCCCAGAGGUCUAAGAGAGGAAGUCAGAGCAAAGCCCAUCAAAGCCCACCCAGAACAGCAGGGAAAUUCCAAGUCAUCGGUUUCUAGUUCUCCCCAUGCGUGUGGUGGCCCUGCUUUGUGGUGAGCCUCCAGGACUGUCCUGCUGUGCCUCUGAAGCACCUGCUCACAGAAGGGUGACCCAUUGAGGCAUGCAGUGGGUUGAUACAAAUGUCAACUCCAGCCCCUGUCAUCAGCUAAAGGUCAGCAAAUGAGUUCUCUGGCAUUUGGGGUCUGCAGGAGCAAGUGAGUACUGUGAACACCUGCAGUGUGGAGACCACGUCCAUCUAAUUGGCGUCUAUGGGGCCCAGUGCCAGGCUGGGCCCAAGUGUCGAUUCAGGAAGGGUGUCUCAGGAUGCAGAAGCCGCCUGAUGCGUGCAGAGGUGGAUAGGCCUUCAGCCUGCUCUCCUCCUCUGUCCUGCAGCGGGCCUCCUGUGCACACAGCAGCGUGGGUGGAUCUGAACAUUUCAGUGCUGAGUGAAAAGGGUAAGAAACAGCAAGAGACGCGUGGCAGAACACUCCUUAGGAAAAUUAAAAAUACACACAUAAAGUCACUGUAUUUUUAAAGAAUUGGCACAAAUAAAAAUACAUAAACACAAAAACCAAGACAACACCCUGAAAACACAGCAGCAGAUCAUGUGGAUCGUGUGCCUUAGGCAUUGUUGACAGUAAGUGGCAAGGCAAAGCAGGCACCCCUGAUGCUUUACUUUUGUUUGUUCACUUCACAGAGUGAAGCUCCUGAUGCUGCCUUAAUGAAGAUUUAUAACAUCCAUCCAUCCAUCCAUCCAUCCAUCCAUCCAUCCAUCCAUCUAUCCAUCCAUCCAUCCAUCCAUCCAUCCAUCCAUCCAUCCAUCUAUGCAUCCAUCCAUCCAUCCAUCCAUCCAUCCAUCCAUCCAUCCAUCUAACAAAAACACAUAUCAAGUGUUCCUAAAUGUAAGACACUCCCCUUAGUGCUGGAAGGGAGGAAGAGAUAAAGACAUCAUCUCCUUUCUAGAGAAGUUUUUAAUCCACGUAAGGUCACAAUGAGGGAGGAGUAAGAGAGAAAUAGUACAGCUGACCUAAGAUCAACACGGGUUUGAGCUGCAUGGGUCCACUUACACGAGGAUUUUCUCUGCCUCUGCACCCCUGAGACAGCGAGACCAACCCCCUCUUCCUCCUCUUCAGCCUCCUCAACAUGAAGACCACGAAGAUGAAGACCUUUACGAUGAUCCAUUUCUACUUAAUGAAUAUAAAUACAUUUUCUCUUCCUUAUGCUUUUCUUAAUACUGUUUUCUUCUCUCUAGCUUACUUUAUUAGGAGGAUACGGCAUAUAAUAGUCACACACUGCAUAAGGACAUUUCAGUGAGUGACACACCACACAUACGACAGUGGUCCCAU
RNAcentral lists this long non-coding RNA (1578 nucleotides) under Homo sapiens (human). RNAcentral's name for it is "non-protein coding lnc-IRF2-7:1". Lineage: Eukaryota; Metazoa; Chordata; Mammalia; Primates; Hominidae. The record is from RNAcentral.